GUUUGUCGUGGGAGCUGAGACAGAUGGACUAGUGAGGAGCUCCACUGCAGGGAAUACUCAGUCUCAGUUGCUGACCAUGCUGGAUGAAGUUCAGUUAGAGGCCCAGGCACUGGAGAGGUACCUGCUCUGGAACCAGUCAUGUGAGAACCGAUCAGAUACCUGGCUGGGGCAGUUAGGGGAGGAGCCUAUGUUAAAAAGAGGCCUUCAAGAUGGCUGAAGAGAGAGAGGGGGCUGAUUACCUGUGCUGUUUUAGUUUGUCUUUUUAAUCUCUUGUGUUGGGAGUGUGCUUAUUUUAACCUUGCAAGAUGGCCUUUUAUGUUCGAGGAAGUGGUGGUAUUUUACAAGAGAUUGUUUGUACCACCUGGGGUGUCAAACAGCUAAGCGGGGCGCGCCUGUACAUUCACAUCAUGUAGAUGUCUACUCUUUCUAGUUCCCUAGGUGAGAGGGUAGGCACCACCACAUGUACUUGUGGUGACUGGCUAGGGAAGUGUACAGUAGUUGGCUUGUUGGCUUUAGUUUUUUUUUUUUUUUUUUUUAGAUUAGCCAAAUAUUGUUUGAGUAGGUAAGCGUGGUGUGGUUUUGAUUUGUUCUUUUCUUUGGUGCCGUCCAGUUUGAUUCUUCCAGUGUGGUACUAGAUAUCACAGCACUCUGGUUUUCUUGAUGUUUGUUGUAAUACAAAUGGACUCAAAAGCUCUAUAUUGGUCUGUUCCUCACACUUCUAAUCAAUUCUCACCAGUUCAGCAUUUUAAUGCCACAUGUUACUGAUCCCACAUACCCUAGACAAAAUGUGGGGUCAUAACAAUUGUUAUCACUGUUAAAGUAAUGGUUUCAUAAAAAUAAAAAAAUUAAAUGUGUACAAUUUUCCACUUACCCCAGUAAAUCCACCAAGACAUGUUUGGUGUCCAAAUUCGUUUUGUGCUCUUUCAGUUGAGCGUGCUAAAAACCAGUAGUCAAUAGUCAGCCAAAUCUCACAUAGACUCUAGAAUUCAUUUUCUGUUGUUUAUAUUUAUAAUCAUUUAUUUUUAGUUCAACAGUUGCAUGUAAAAAGAGACAACAGAAACAGUGUAUCUAAUUUGUAGCGUCCAUAUGUUGUGCAUGCAUAUGAAUGGGAAUGGUGCAGCACAACACCUGUUGUAGUUUUGUGUACUAAACCACACUGACAACUCUGCAUGACCUUAAUGAAGACCUAGAUGUGGCUGAAGCAGGUUGGGUGGUUAUUGACUUCUAGUGGUUGUUAGCUACAUUAGCUUCAUAGCUCCAGUUUUAAAAUAACUAAACAAAAUUUCAUUCAGAAUGUCUUGGCUGAUCAAAUACAUCCGAAGUAAGAGGAGAGCUGUGUAGACUCAAUUUUUCUUUGGGUGUUGCUACUGAAAUUGUGCUUUAUCAGUUGGGGAAGCUUCCUCAGAUAGACUACAUAUAAUGUAUAAUGCUGUAUAAUGCUUACUACAAUGUCUCUUCUUGGCUAAGGCCACCACUCCAUUAUUCAACUAUGCAAUAAAUCAUAAGAAAAAAUA
Molecule: long non-coding RNA, 1514 nt
Organism: Pygocentrus nattereri (red-bellied piranha)
Lineage: Eukaryota; Metazoa; Chordata; Actinopteri; Characiformes; Serrasalmidae
Exons: 2
Source: RefSeq, a predicted model, not a curated record